AACGCGAAGAACCUUACCCAGACUUGACAUCCUCGGGAUCCUGCAGAGAUGUGGGAGUGCCCGCAAGGGAGCCGAGAGACAGGUGCUGCAUGGCUGUCGUCAGCUCGUGUCGUGAGAUGUUGGGUUAAGUCCCGCAACGAGCGCAACCCUCGCCUUUAGUUGCCAGCAUUAAGUUGGGCACUCUAGAGGGACUGCCGGUGUCAAGCCGGAGGAAGGUGGGGAUGACGUCAAGUCCUCAUGGCCUUUAUGUCUGGGGCUACACACGUGCUACAAUGGUCGGUACAGAGGGAAGCAAAGCCGCGAGGCGGAGCCAAUCCCAGAAAACCGGCCCCAGUUCGGAUCGAAGUCUGCAACUCGACUUCGUGAAGUCGGAAUCGCUAGUAAUCGCGGAUCAGAACGCCGCGGUGAAUACGUUCCCGGGCCUUGUACACACCGACGCAC
This 441-nucleotide ribosomal RNA is filed under the name uncultured bacterium. RNAcentral describes it as "bacterial SSU rRNA". It matches the Rfam family "Bacterial small subunit ribosomal RNA", at positions 958 to 1398 of the family's 1533-position model. The record is from RNAcentral.